GACGAACGCUGGCGGCGUGCUUAACACAUGCAAGUCGAACGGAAAGGCCCUGCUUGUGUGGGGUGCUCGAGUGGCGAACGGGUGAGUAACACGUGAGUAACCUGACCUUGACUUUGGGAUAACUUCAGGAAACUGGGGCUAAUACAGGAUAGGAGCUUAUGCUGCAAGGUGGGGGUUGGAAAGUUUCGGCGGUUGGGGAUGGACUCGCGGCUUAUCAGCGUGUUGGUGGGGUAGUGGCUUACCAAGGCUUUGACGGGUAGCCGGCCUGAGGGGAUGACCGGCCGCAAUGGCACUGAGGUACGACCAAGACUCCUACGGAGGACAACAGUGUAGAGUUUUGCACAAUAUGCGGAAGCCUGAUGCAGCAGCGCCACGAGCGGAAUAACGGCCUUCUGGUUGUGAACCGCUUUCGCCUGUUACGAAGCGUCAUUGACGCUAAUAGGUAAGAAAGCACCGGCUAACUACGUG
Molecule: ribosomal RNA, 468 nt
Filed under: uncultured bacterium
Lineage: Bacteria
Description: partial 16S ribosomal RNA
Rfam family: Bacterial small subunit ribosomal RNA
Source: RNAcentral